GCGAGGAGGGCCACAUCUCCAGGGACUGCCCCCAGGGCGGCGGCGGUGGCGGCGGAUACGGCGGUGGUGGCUAUGGAGGAGGCGGCGGCGGCGGCCGCGAGUGCUACAAGUGCGGCGAGGAGGGCCACAUCUCCAGGGACUGCCCCCAGGGCGGUGGUGGUGGCGGCGGCGGCGGCGGCUACGGAGGCGGUGGUGGCCGUGGCGGCGGCGGCGGCGGUGGCGGCUGCUUCUCCUGCGGCGAGUCCGGCCACUUCUCCCGCGAGUGCCCCAACAAGGCCCACUAGGCGGCACAGCUCUUCAGAUCUGAGUGCCCCGUUUACCCUCGCUCCUUUACCUACCUCCUGAUUCUGCAGCAAGUCAUACCCUAUACCUAUCAGUACUAGUAUUAGUCGCCGUAGCGUUUCCCCCUGCUGCUCGAUCCGAGCUUGGUUCCAGAAGAAUUGCUGGUGGUGUGUUCGUCGUUAAGAUCCAAGUUAUUUUGUUGUCUCUCUGUGAUGAGGACACAGAUCUAUCUAUGUGUUGGAUGGACUAAGUUAUCGAAGUCAAGUUUGGUUUCUUGAGAUUGAUCUAUGAUCUUGCAUGCCUAGUGUUUAUCUUGCAUGUCUGCCAGGCUUGAAAGCGUUGAUUCUGAUAUUCUGUUCUAGGCUAGUGGUGGUGGAUUAUUUUGGAAUCCUGUUCUCCCAUUUAUGUGCGAUUCCAUUGGCGUUUUGAUAGUGGUAUGAUUCGCAAGUUUGAUGCUUCAUGUUCAACAGGUUCAUGGUUCCAAAUCUUCAACAGGUCAAUUCUUAUAUGUUCUUGUGCCACUGUCUGCUGUUAGUAGAUUCUUCACAUGCCACUAGCUUGCAAAAUGCAUCCUAGAUCUUUUUGCAUCCGUCCUAAGCAAGACACGUUGAUUCCUUGCUAUGAUAGAAGACAAAUUCAAUCAGCUCUGCUGUUCCCAUUACGCCCACAUUUCAUUAUAAGCUUAAUCUGAAUUCAGCAGUCUCUUGCUUAAGAAAGAAGGCACCUUAGCUUACUGAUUAAGCCUGAAGCUCCGUUGCAGCUUAGUGGAGUAGUGUGCUUUGUCUGGGAUGAACAGAAUGGAAUCAUGUCGCUUUAGACUUGGGGGAUGCGAAGAAUAACAGCCUAAAUUUUUAUCUCCUUCCAACAAAUGACUCUAGAGCACAUGAACUAUGAUUGAAUAAAUCUUUAUGAGCUUACGCUUUUUAGCAUUUUUCAUAGGAAAUUUAAUAGCCACUCCCAAAUGAAACCAUGAUAUGAAGUACACAUCUCAAAUUUUCCAGAUCUCCUGUGUCCUUUGCAGGCAACGAGCAGGGGGAGGGACCCUGCCCCUGCAGUCGUACUUGGUAGUCUUUUUAGUCCUGAAUGGCACUUUGUCGGGUAAUCUCAUCGGGGAGGAAACUCCGGCGAGCCCUGUUCGUGGCCGCCAUAGCUGUUGAUGUGCUCGUCCUCUUCGAUGCUGGCAACAACUUUCUGCAACGCAUCUUAAGCGCGGUAGUCGGCGUUAGUGUAGGGAUGGAGGCAACCAAAUCGGUUUCUCCCAAGUUCCCUUUGUUUCCCUUUAGCUCCAACAAAUUCCUUGUAGAAUUUGGUCAUCUUUAUUUCGUUUCUCUAGCGUUGUUGGUCUAGGUUUUCUCUCCAAUUUACCUUGUGGUCUCUGCUUAUUGGUAUGAAUUGAAGACUGCCUUGAAUUCCUAACUUAUGGCUUGGGUUCCUCCUUAUACGUUUUCAUGGUCGAUUGGUUGCUAGGUCCAAUCAAUGCUUGUCGAUGCUCUCUCCAACCUCUCUGACUUGGGGCCCCGCAUGGUGACCAUUGUUUCAACCUGGUGGCGCUGUAGGGGCCACUCCGUGGUACUCUCUCCGGUCCGAUUUACUCAGUCGUGGCUUUAGUUUAAAUUGAACUAAAAUCAUGACGAGUAAAUCGGAAUGGAGGGAGUAGGUUUUAUAGGGCGCAUUUCUCACGGUCGGAGCUUGGUUGUUGAAGAUUGUAGUAGGACAAGAGGGGUGGUGGUUUUUUUUUUUCAAAUCAAACGCAGAAGAGAAUUAUCCAGUUAAUUAACGAGAAACCAGGUGAAAACCGUCAUAAUCCGCUGAGCGGCACACAUAGUAUACCCCACACGCCCCCUUUGAGAGGGCCUCGCCGAGCUAGUACACAUGUGUCAUCAUCAUCACUUCUUCAAAAGCGACGUCAUUGCCAUCCCUAAUCCCCGUCAUCACUUCUUCAAAAGCGACGUCAUUGCCAUCCCUAAUCCCCGAGCAAACGACUCUGAUUUCAUCGUAGACAAGCAUCAACCCAACGCACACCAUAGGGGUCAUGUGGAGACAAAUGAAGAUCUGCACUAGCACUCAACCAUCCGCGUCAAGGACAGCGCAACUCUUCCUCUGGAUGAGAGCUAGGAAGAAGAACUAUACAAGGUUGGCGCCGUGAAAACCACUGAAUAGACCACAUGUUGCUCGUUAUCGUUGAUACAUGGCCCUGCCGUCGCAGCUCCGACUUCGUAGCAACAAACAGACCAAGGCAAUCCCACGAACACGCCGAAGAAGAGCCGACUAACACAACAAUUGCCGUGCCUCCGACCUCGCUCACCCCGCCAUUGUUGCCAUAGCAGGUAGAUGUUGGUGAAUGAACUAUUAGAACUAUUAGAACCAUUGUCGGCGACUAACACAACCAUUGUCGCGCAUUCGACCUCGCUCACCCCACCAUUGUUGGCACAUAAGCUAGAUGUAGAGGGGUGGUGUUGAUGAAUGAACUAUUAGAACUAUUGCUACCAGAACUUAGAUGAUGUUCUGAAUUAUAAUUCUUAACAAUUUUAAGCUUACCUAGCGAUGCCUAGAACACCCUGCACAUACAAGUCUAACAAAGAGUAAAGCGACGAAGCAAAACUUGAUACUACAGGGAGUGAGUCUAGGAGAUUGCAAACUCAAGGAGGUUUCAUGACAUAUUUCAUCUUAUAGUUGGUGCUAUCCUACUCCAUAUUGAAGAAGACGUCAAUCCACGAACGUUCUAGGAUCACGAAGACCUCGAUUGCCAAGUCCAUGGAGUACUUUGCCUACAGGAAAAGGAGGAGUAAAAUGGUACUUCACCCCCAAGAGGUUUCAACUUUGUGGUGGGUGAGCUAAUAACAGGUAAGUUUUGAUGGCAUCUAGCUAUCUUAAGCAGAUGGAAUCUGAUUCGUGACCCAACUAGGGGGUAUAUAGGGUAUACCAUGAAUCCUACUUAAGCUCUUGAGUGGAUUGGGGCCCCUCUAGAGAAGUAUUAGUUUGAGUUCGUGAUUUUUCAUCAAAAAGGUUCUUUCGUUUUCUUGGCCGAGGGACGAUUGUUGUAGCAAGUUUGCGAGGUAAGAUUGAUCUCAUAAAGCUUCAUGAAAUAAUUCAAUGGAAUGCGACCUGCAAAAAACAAGAAGUUCCAACGUGUUUCUACAUAUUUGAUUUUUUUCCUUUUCAGCCCCCUGCUGUUUGUUUUUUCUGUACAGUACUAUGAUGAUAACAAUAUUAUGUUUUGAAACAUUUUGAGGUGGUAAAUAACAUUCAAAUAAUGCGUGUGUGAUUUUUUUCAAAUAUUUCUGCGCACCACUGGUGGUCGUAACAAAGACUUGACCUGGGAGUAGCUAGUCAAACAUAUCCGUUGAAGUCUGUCCAACCCACUGUCACCACCCAUUGACGUUGGUUUUUCCCGAGGCUCGCUGGCACUCGCAGCCGCAGCUUGGCUUUCCUGAGAACUGAGAAGGGACGAUAGGGGAGGAGGAGGUGGGGAUUUCGAAAUUCAAAAUUCACACUCUCCUCUCCUUUCGUCAGGGCAACUGCAACGCCCGUCCAUCAAAUUGUGUGUAAACAUUUGGACCAUACUUUUUAAGGGUAUAUUUGGACCAUACUUGUGUGUAAACAUUUGGACCAUGCUGUUUGGACAAUUUGUGCCCUUCAACGUCGUCCAUCAAAUGUCCAUGGACUAGUUCGUGCGUCGGAAUAACCGUAAAACCGGAAGCAAACCUAGAGGAGGCCGUCGCACUUCGACACACCCUGCCAAGACAAAAGCGAGGCGGAGCCUGCGCAUUUGGACAUUUUCGCGUGAAUGCCCGCACUUUCCCAUCGCCUCUGCUUCGAUCACCGUCACCACCCACCCCGGUUCCCGCCCGUUUCACAGUCCGCCGCCGUGAUGGAGCCGAAGGAGGUGGUGAUGGAGAUGUCCGUAGUUUAGUUUUGUCGGGUCAAGAUACGAAGGACCUAUUGGUGGUGCCUGCCCGCAAGGCCAACACGACGACACACACCACCCAUUGCCGCAAACAGAGGUAGACAAAGGAUGCUUUGAUGGUGGCUGGUCACCCAGUUCUUCGCCCGGCAAAGCAUGCGAUUCGUCGGGUGUGAGUCGUCAGUCGUGCAAUCGCCUUCACCCUGGUCGGCACAUAUGAUUCCGCCAUACUACUUCGCCGCCACGUAGUCCGGUCCGCAGCCCCUACCGUCACCACCAGCCCUCGCGUCCCGUACAAUAUCGACCUCAAUGGGGAGUACAACUUUAUGGAGUCAUAGUCGUCGGUGCUUGUCCAGCCUCCACGCCCAUCGGUGCAUGGUCUUUGUUUGCUGGGAUGUUUCAGUCGAGCGCGAUGAGUGGAUGAUGAUGAGGCGCUGAUGAAUAUGAUACACGACAACGACGACUAUGAAGGCGGGCAAGUAGAUGACACCUAGCUGGUGGUGUGGUGGUGGGCGCCCAACAGAUGCACACUUAGAUGUUAAUAACUAGCAAUCGCAGACCCGGCCGAAAAGAAGGGCGAGCCGUUUGACAAGUUCAUCGUGGUGCAAGAAAAUUUGGCACGAACAAACGGUCUUGCAGGUAAAAAAGAGGUUUGUGAAANNNNNNNNNNNNNNNNNNNNNNNNNNNNNNNNNNNNNNNNNNNNNNNNNNNNNNNNNNNNNNNNNNNNNNNNNNNNNNNNNNNNNNNNNNNNNNNNNNNNNNNNNNNNNNNNNNNNNNNNNNNNNNNNNNNNNNNNNNNNNNNNNNNNNNNNNNNNNNNNNNNNNNNNNNNNNNNNNNNNNNNNNNNNAUUCUUCUAAGACGGGAGAGUUUGACGAAUAGCAAAGUAACGAUAUUGAAACAGAAGAGAAACUAGAUCAUCACAGUAAAGCAAGACAUGCACACAUGAUAGAUGCAGAUGACGAACAUGCAAUCAUACAUACAAUAAAAUGUAAACAUGAUGAGCUGAAGGAAUGAAAGGCAUCCAGAUGAAAGUCUUCAGAAUGCGGACGUACUAAAAGUAAAUGGUUGAGGAAUAUGAAACUAGGAUAGCUCAGUGAUGACAUGAUGAUUUGUUUGAGUAGUUCAAGUUAUUGCAUCAGCUAUACGUCUGGUUAGGGAGGCUGAGAUUGAACUCAGAUGACACUAAGUAUUCACCUUAUUCCCCUUGAGCUAAGGUCACUUAGACCCCAUCCAAUUGAAGGAAAUAUGCCCUUGGGGCAAUAAUAAAGUUGUUAUUUAUAUCAUGAUAAAUGUUUACUAUUCAUGCUAGAAUUGUAUUAACCGAAAACUUGAUACAUGCAUGGAUACAUAGAUAAAACACUGUGUCCCUGGUAACCUCUACUAGAAUAGCUCGUUAAUCAAAGAUGGUUAAGUUUCCAAACCAUAGACAUGUGUUGUCAUUUGAUGAACGGGAUUACACCAUUAGGAGAAUGAUGUGAUGAACAAGACUCAUUUGUUAGCUUAGCAUAUUUAUUGUUCAGUUUUAUUGCUAUUGCUUUCUUCAUGUCAAAUACAUAUUCCUUCGACUAUGAGAUUAUGCAACUCCCGGAUACCGGAGGAAUACCUUGUGUGCUAUCGAACGUCACAAUGUAACUGGGUGAUUGUAAAGAUGCUCUACAGGUAUCUACGAAGGUGUUUGUUGGGUUGGCAUAGAUCGAGAUUAGGAUUUGUCACUCCGAGCAUCAGAGAGGUAUCUCUGGGCCCUCUCGGUAAUGCACACCAUAAGAAGCCUUGCAAGCAAGUGACUAAUGAGUUAGUUACAGGAUGAUGUAUUACGGAACGAGUAAAGAGACUUGCCGGUAACGAGAUUGAACUAGGUAUGAAGAUACCAACGAUCGAAUCUCGGGCAAGUAACAUACCGAUGACAAAGGGAAUAACAUAUGUUGUCAUUACGGUUCGACCGAUAAAGAUCUUCGUAGAAUAUGUGGGAACCAAUACGAGCAUCCAGGUUCUGCUAUUGGUUAUUGAUAAACUAUUCCGAUGUCCAAACAUAACCUUCCAAUAUAUCAAUCUUUAUGUCUAGACCAUUUCGAGACUCCUCGUCAUGUCCGUGAUCUCAUCUGGGACUCCGAACAAACUUCGGUUCAUCAAAACAUAUAACUCAAAUCGUCAUUGAACGUUAAGCGUGCGGACCCUAUGGGUUUGAGAACUAUGUAGACAUGACGGAGACACAUCUUCGGUCAAUAGCCAAUAGCGAAACCUGUAUGCUCAUAUUGGCUCCUACAUAUUCUAUGAAGAUCUUUAUCGGUCAAACCGUAUAACAACAUACGUUGUUCCUGUCAUCGGUAUGUUACUUGCCCGAGAUUCGAUCGUCUGUAUCAUCAUACCUAGUUCAAUAUCGUUACCGGCAAGUCUCUUUACUCGUUCCGUAAUGCAUCAUCCCGUGGCUAGCUAACUCAUUACACACAUUGCUUGCAAGGCUCAUAGUGAUGUGCAUUACCGAGAGGGCCCAGAGAUACCUCUUUGAUACACAGAGUGACAAAUCCUAAUCUCGAUCUCUGCCAACUCAACAAACACCAUCGGAGACAUCUGUAGAGCAUCUUUAUAAUAACCCAGUUACAAUGUGACGUUUGAUAGCACACAAGGUAUUCCUCCAGUAUUCGGGAGUUGCAUAAUCUCAUAGUCAGAGGAACAUGUAUAAGUCAUGAAGAACGCAAUAGCAAUAAAACUAAACGAUCAUUAUGCUAAGCUAACGGAUGGGUCUUGUCCAUCACAUCAUUCUCUAAUGAUAUGAUCCCAUUCAUCAAAUGACAACACAUGUCUAUGGUCACGAAACUACACCAUCUUUGAUUAACGAGCUAGUCUAGUAGAGGCAUACUAGGGACACUCUGUUUGUCUAUGUAUUCACACAUGUACUAAGUUUUUGGUUAAUACAAUUCUAGCAUGAAUAAAAAACAUUUAUCAUAAUAUAAGGAAAUAUAAAUAACAACUUUAUUAUUGCCUCUAGGGCAUAUUUCCUUCAGUCUCCCACUUGCACUAGAGUCAAUAAUCUAGAGUACAUAGUAAUGAUUCUAACACCCAUGGAGUCUUGGUGCUGAUCAUGUUUUGCUUGUGAGAGAGGAUUAGUCAACGGGUCUGCAACAUUCAGAUCCGUAUGUAUCUUGCAAAUCUCUAUGUCUCCCUCCUUGACUUGAUCGCGGAUGGAAUUGAAGCAUCUCUUGAUGUGUUUGGUUCUCUUGUGAAAUCCGGAUUCCUUCGCCAAGGCAAUUGCUCCAGUAUUGUGACAAAAGAUUUUCAUUGGACCCAAUGCACUAGGUAUGACACCUAGGUCGGAUAUGAACUCCUUCAUCUAGACUCCUUCAUUUGCUGCUUCUGAAGCAACUAUGUACUCCGCUUCACACGUAGAUCCCGCCACGACGCUCUGCUUGGAACUGCACCAACUGAAAGCUCCACCAUUCAAUAUAAAUACAUAUCCGGCUUGUGACUUAGAGUCAUCCGGAUCAGUGUCAAAGCUUGCAUCGACGUAACCAUUUACGACGAGCUCUUUGUCACCUCCAUAAACGAGAAACAUAUCCUUAGUCCUUUUUAUGUAUUUCAGGAUGUUCUUGAUUGUUGUCCAGUGAUCCUCUUCUGAAUUACUUUGGUACCUCCCUACUAAAAUAAUAGCAAGGCACACAUAAGGUCUGGUACACAACAUUUCAUACAUGAUAGAACCUAUGGCUGAGGCAUAGGGAAUGACUUUCAUUUUAUCUCUAUCUCCUGCAAUGGUCGGGCAUUGAGUCUGACUCAACUUCACACCUUGUAACAUAGGCAAGAACCCUUUCUUCGACCGAUCCAUUUUGAACUUCUUCAAAAAUUUAUCAAGGUAUGUGCCUUUUGAAAGUCCAAUUAAGCGUCUUGAUCUAUCUCUAUAGAUCUUGAUGCCCAAUAUAUAAGCAGCUUCACCGAGGUCUUUCAUUGAAAAAUUCUUAUUCAAGUAUCCUUUUAUGCUAUUCAGAAAUUCAAUAUCAUUUCCAAUCAACAAUAUGUCGUCCACAUAUAAUAUAAGAAAUGCUACAGAGCUCCCACUCACUUUCUUGUAAAUACAGGCUUCUCCAAAAGUCUGUAUAAAACCAUAUGCUUUGAUCACACAAUCAAAGCGUAUAUUCCAACUCCGAGAGGCUUGCACCAGUCCAUAAAUGGAUCGCUGGAGUUUGCACACUUUGUUAGCACCUUUUGGAUCGACAAAACCUUCUGGUUACAUCAUAUACAACUCUUCUUUAAGAUAUCCAUUAAGGAAUACAGUUUUGACAUCCAUUUGCGAAAUUUCAUAAUCAUAAAAUGCGGCAAUUGCUAACAUGAUUUGGACAGACUUAAGCAUCGUUACGGGUGAGAAGGUCUCAUCGUAGUCAACUCCUUGAACUUGUCGAAAACCUAUCGCAACAAGUCGAGCUUUGUAAACAGUAACAUUACCGUCAGCGUUAGUCUUCUUCUUGAAGAUCCAUUUAUUUUCUAUUACUUGCCCAUCAUCGGGCAAGUCAACCAAAGUCCACACUUUGUUCUCAUACAUGGAUCCCAUCUCAGAUUUCAUGGCCUCAACCCAUUUCAUGGAAUCUAGGCUCAUCAUCGCUUCCUCAUAGUUCGUAGGUUCAUCAUGGUCAAGUAACAUGACCUCCAGAACAGGAUUACCGUACCACUCUGGUGCGGAUCUUACUCUGGUUGACCUACGAGGUUCGGUAGUAACUUGAUCAGAAGUUUCAUGAUCAUCAUCACUAGCUUCCUCACUAAUUGGUGUAGGAAUCACCGAAACUGACUUCUGUGAUUAACUACUUUCCAAUUCGGGAGAAGGUACAAUGACCUCAUCAAGUUCUACUUUCCUCCCACUCACUUCUUUCGAGAGAAACUCCUUCUCUAGAAAGGAUCCAUUCUUAGCAACGAAUAUUUUGCCUUCAGAUCUGUGAUAGAAGGUGUACCCAACAGUCUCCUUUGGGUAUCCUAUGAAGACACAUUUCUCCGAUUUGGGUUCGAGCUUAUCAGGUUGAAGCUUUUUCGCAUAAGCAUCGCAGCCCCAAACUUUAAGAAACGACAACUUGGGUUUCUUGCCAAACCACAGUUCGUAUGGUGUCGUCUCAACGGAUUUAGAUGGUUCCAUAUUUAACAUGAAUGUAGCCGUCUGAUAACCCACAAGUAUAGGGGAUCGCAAUAGUUUUCGAUAAGUAAGAGUGUCGAACCCAACGAGGAGCUAAAGGCAGAACAAAUAUUCCCUCAAGUUCUAUCGACCACCGAUACAACUCUAUGCAUGCUUGAUGUUCGCUUUACCUAGAACAAGUAUGAAACUAGAAAUACUAUGUAGGUGUUGUUGGAUAGGUUUACAAGAUAAUAAAUAGCAAGUAAAUAAAAAGUAGGGGCUGUUUAGAUAAAGACACAACUAAGUUAGUUUUAGUAAAGAGCUUUUUGUUACGAGAAAGUUAUUUGUCCCUAGGCAAUCGAUAACUAGACCGAUAAUCAUUAUUGCAAUUUUAUAUGAGGAAGAGGCAUAAGCUAACAUACUUUCUCUACUUGGAUCAUAUGCACUUAUGAUUGGAACUCUAGAAAGCAUCCUCAACUACUAAAGAUCAUUAAGGUAAAACCCAACCAUAGCAUUAAAGUAUCAAGUCCUCUUUAUCCCAUACGCAAACAACCUACUUACUCGGGUCUGUGCUUCUGUCACUCACGCCACCCACCAUAAGCAAAUCAUGAACAUAUUGCAAACCCUACAGCAGGAAUCCCUCACGCUUGCGCGACACAGAGAGCACCAUAGGACAGCACCAAUAAUAAAACAUGCAACUCAAACCAAUCACGAUCAUUAAUUAACCCAUAGGACAAAACGGAUCUACUCAAACAUCAUAGGAUAGCCAUACAUCAUUGGGAAAUAAUAUAUAGCAUUGAGCACCAUGUUUAAGUAGAGAUUACAGUGAGUAAAAUAGAGGUUACACUGCUGCAUAGAGGGGGGAAGAGUUGGUGAUGAUGGCGGUGAAGUUGUUGGUGAAGAUUGCGGUGAUGAUGAUGGUCCCCGGUGGCACUCCGGUGCCACUGGAAGCGAGGGGGAGAGAGCCCCCCUCCAUCUUCUUCUUCCUUGAACUCCUCCCUAGAUGGGAGAAGGGUUUCCCCUCUGGUCCUUGGUCUCCAUGACGUGGGAGGGGCGAGAGCCCCUCCGAGAUUGGAUCUCUCUCUCUCUCUCUCUCUCUCUCUCUCUCUCUCUCUCUGUUUCUGUGUUCCCAGAUUCUCCCUUUCACCAUUUCUUAUAUUUUCGUAGAUCUGCAACUCCGAUUGGGCUGAAAUUUUAACACGAUCUCUAUUCGGAUAUUAGCUUUCUUGCGGCGAAAGAAGGGCAUCAACCGCCUUACGGGGUGGCCACGAGGGUCAGGGGCGCGCCCAGGGGGUGGGGCGCCCCCCUGCCUCGUGCCUCCCUCGGGCACCGUCUCGCAUGGAUUUUUCUUCCCCAAAAUCAUAUAUAUUCCAAAAAAAUCUCCGUCAGUUUUUAUCCCGUUUGGACUCCGUUUCAUAUGGAUAUUCUGCGAAACAAAAAACAUGCAACAAACAGGAACUGACACUGGGCAAUGGAUGAAUAUGUUAGUCCCAAAAAUAGUAUAAAAAGUUGCCAAAAGUAUAUGAAAGUUGUAGAAUAUUGGCAUGGAACAAUAAAAAAUUAUAGAUACGAGAGAGACGUAUCAGUAUCCCCAAGCUUAAUUCCUGCUCGUCCUCGAGUAGGUAAAUGAUAAAAAAGAUAAUUUUUGAUGUGGAAUGCUACCUAGCAUAAUCUUGAUCACAUAUCUAAUCAUGGCAUGAAUAUUAAGACACGAGUGAUUCAAAGCAAUAAUCUAUCAUUUGACAUAAAAACAAUAAUACUUCAAGCCCACUAAUAAAGCAAUCAUGUCUUUUCAAAAUAACAUGGCCAACGAAAGUUAUCCCUACAAAAUCAUAUAGUCUGGCUAUGCUCCAUCUUCACCACACAAAAUAUUCACAUCAUGCACAACCCCGAUGACAAGCCAAGCAAUUGUUUCAUACUUUUGACGUUCUCAAACCUUUUCAACUUUCACGCAAUACAUGAGCGUGAGCCAUGGACAUAGCACUAUAGGUGGAAUAGAAUGGUGGUUGUGGAGAAGACAAAAAGGAGAAGAUAGUCUCACAUCAACUAGGCAUAUCAACGGGCUAUGGAGAUUCCCAUCAAUAGAUAUCAAUGUGAGUGAGUAGGGAUUGCCAUGCAACGGAUGCACUAGAGCUAUAAGUGUAUGAAAGCUCAGACUGAAAACUAAGUGGGUGUGCAUCCAACUUGCUUGCUCAUGAAGACCUCGGGCGUUUGAGGAAGCCCAUCAUCGGAAUAUACAUGCCAAGUUCUAUAAUGAAAAUUCCCACUAGUAUAUGAAAGUGAUAACUCAAGAGCCUCUCUAUAUGAAGAACAUGGUGCUACUUUGAAGCACAAGUGUGGUAAAAGGAUAGUAACAUUGCCCCUUCUCUCCUUUUCUCUCCUUUUUUUUGUGGGCUUCUUUGGCCUCUUUUUUUAUUUGGGCUUCUUUGGCCUCUUUUAUUUAUUUUUAAAGUCCGGAGUCUCAUCCCGACUUGUGGGGGAAUCAUAGUCUCCAUCAUCCUUUCCUCACUGGGACAAUGCUCUAAUAAUGAUGAUCAUCACACUUUUAUUUACUUACAACUCAAUAUUACAACUCGAUACUAGAACAAAGAUAUGACUCUAUAUGAAUGCCUCCAGCAGUGUACCGGGAUGUGCAAUGAUCUAGCGUAGCCAUGACAUCAAAAAAUGGAUAAGCCAUGAAAACAUCAUGCUAGCUAUCUUACGAUCAUGCAAAGCAAUAUGACAAUGAAUGCUCAAGUCAUGUAUAUGAUGAUGAUGGAAGUUGCAUGGCAAUAUAUCUCGGAAUGGCUAUGUAAAUGCCAUGAUAGGUAGGUAUGGUGGCUGUUUUGAGGAAGGUAUAUGGUGGGUUUAUGGUACCGGCGAAAGUUGCGCGUUACUAGAGAGGCUAGCAAUGGUGGAAGGGUGAGAGUGCGUAUAAUCCAUGGACUCAACAUUAGCCAUAAAGAACUCACAUACUUAUUGCAAAAGUCUAUUAGCUAUCGAAACAAAGUACUAAGUGCAUGCUCCUAGGGGGAUAGUUUGGUAGGAAAAGACCAUCGCUCGUCCCCGACCGCCACUCAUAAGGAAGACAAUCAAUAAAUAAAUCAUGCUCCGACUUCAUUACAUAACGGUUCACCAUACGUGCAUGCUACGGGAAUCACAAACUCCAACACAAGUAUUUCUACAAUCCACAACCACCCACUAGCAUGACUCUAAUAUCACCAUCUUUAUAUCGCAAAACUAUUGCAAGGAAUCAAACAUAUCAUAUUCAGUGAUCUACAAGUUUUAUGUAGGAUUUUAUGACUAACCAUGUGAAUGACCAAUUCCUAUCAUCUCUCUAAAUAGAUAUAAGUGAAGCAAGAGAGUUUAAUUCUUUCUACAAAAGAUAUGCCCACGCUCUAACAAAUAUAAGUGGAGCAAAAGAGCAUUCUACAAAUGGUGUUUUUUAUGUAAAGAGAGACAGGCAAUCCAAACUUCAAAUGAUAUAAGUGAAGCACAUGAAGCAUUCUACAAAGCCAUACUCAAAAGAUAUAAGUGAAGUGCAUAGAGCAUUCUAUAAAUCAAUCGAGGACUAUCUCAUACCAGCAUGGUGCAUAAAAGAAAAAAAAUGAAAACUAAAUGCAAAGACACUCGAAGAUUUACACAUAUCACAUGAAUGAAACGAAUCCGAAAACAUACUGAUACUUGUUGAAGAAAGAGGGGAUGCCUUCCGGGGCAUCCCCAAGCUUAGAUGAUUGAAUCUCCUUGAAUAUUUACUUGUGGUGCCUUGGGCAUCCCCAAUUAUCUUGAGCUCUUGCCUCUCUUCCUUCUUCUUACAUCGAGACCUUCUCGAUCAUCAAACACUUCAUCCACACAAAACUUCAACAGAAAACUCGGUAAGAUCCGUUAGUAUAAUAAAGCAAAUCACUACUCUAAGUACUAUUGUAAACCAAUUCAUAUUUUGUUUUUGCAUUGUGUCUACUGUAAUAUAACUUUUUCAUGGCUUAAUCCACUGAUAUGAAUCGAUAGUUUCAUCAAAACAAGCAAACUAUGCAUCAAAAACAGAAUCUUUCUAAAACAGAACAGUCUAUAACAAUCUGAACAUUCACCAUACUUUUGAUACUUUAAAAAUUCUACCAAAAUUAGUAAAAAUAAAAAAAUUGUAUAUAAAGACAGUGCAAAAAUAAUCAGAACCAUUUGACGUUCCAGCUAAAAAUGUAAAAUCGCGCACUACAGCCAAAGUUUAUGUCCUGCACCGUACAAACCAACAAGCAUUGUAAACAUCCUAAAGGCAAACCUUGGCACAUUAUUUUUAUAAUACAAUGGAAUUGUACAAGGGGAUAAUUAUUUUUUGAAAAGUUCCUGUAAUCAAGAUUCACAAAGUUCCCGUGAGCAUGAACAAAGUUCAAGGCUAGCUCCUACUUCAACAAUGCUCGUCUUUCUCACUUUCGUUUUCCUUUUUGAAAAAGUUUUGGGUUCCCCUCUUUAUUUUUUUUGUUUUUAAACUAUAUAAAAGCACUCAACAGAAGUAAAUGACUCUCUAAAACUUCCGGGUUGUCUCCCUGGCAGCGCUUUGUUUAAAGCCAUUAAGCUAGGCAUAUAGUGCUCAAGUAGUGAAUCCACCCGGAUCCCAAGGUAUAUCAAAGCCAAUUUUAAUUAACAAUGAUUUGUUAUUUAGUAGUGAGCACAAAGUAACAUAUAUCAUGUAACAACUAACUCUAACUCUCUUCCUAUGCAUCAGCAUGUCAUAAAAGAACAAUUCAUGCACACAUAGUAAAGGCCAAUGCAUAGUAUAAACAGUUUCUUGCAAUUUUAUCGUAUUGGAAACAUAGAGAGGUGGAGAUAUAGUUCCUAUCUCAUAAUAAUUGCAAGUAGGAGCAGCAAGCACAUGCAUAUUAUAUCUAUCAAAAUCAUCAUGUGUAGUAGUAAAAGGCAACCCAUCAAUAUAAUCCUUAAUAAGCACAAACUUCUCCGAUAUAGUAUAGUUUGGAGAAUUCAAAAAGAUAAUAGGACUAUCAUGUGUGGGUGCAAUAUCAACAAUUUCAUGUUUAACAUAAGGAAAUAUAGCAAGUUCAUCUCCAUAAGCAUAAUUUAUAUUGGCAUCUUGGCCACAAGCAUAGCAAGCAUAAUCAAAAAGGGAUAUUUCAAGAGAGUCAACGGGAUCGUAACAAUCAUCAUAGCAAUCAUCCUUCGGUAAGCACGAAGAGAAAUUAAACAAUGUAUGAGUUGAAGAGUUACUCUCAUUAGAAGAUGGGCACGGGUAGCUAAUCCGCUCUUCCUCCUUUUGUUCUUCGCUCUCCUCCUCAUCUUUUUCAUCCAAUGAGCUCACAGUUUCAUCAAUUUCUUCUUCCAUAGACUCCUGCAAAAUAGUAGUCUCUUCUUGGACAGCGGAGUAGUCCUCAAUAUAUGGUUCAACAUAGGCAUUAGAAGUAUAAUUAUCAUAACAAUAUUUAAGUAUGGCAAAAUUUUCAGAUUUGUAAAGAGUAGCAUCACACUUUUCAAUCAAAGAAUCAAUUUCGUAAGCACCCUUAAAAGCAACAAAUUCUUCAAUUUGUUGAACAUCAUAGUAAUUAUAAACACCCUUAGCAUACGAAGAUACGAUUCCAUUAUCACUAAACUCACAUUUAUAGGGGAGAUGUUUCUUAGGGUUUUCAGAACAACAAGUAAAAUCAUAUAUUUCACAUAAAUUCCAAGCAUAGCAUUGCAAACGAUGAAUUUGACCCAGUAAAAGUUUCCCUUUUUCAGAUAUACGGUGUCGCACAUAACAAGCAUGCCCAUCUAAAGAUUUGCCCUCAACUAAGCUAGUUGGGGUUUCAGCACGAGCACAUAGGGAUCGAAGAUGAUCUAAGUAAUAAGCUUCAAGAGUGUGAUAGAUUUUGAGUGGUUCUUCAACCAUUGGUUCAGUAGGUACAACUAUUUUUUUGGUAUUUUGCGUUUCCUACCCAUAACUAAAGAUAGAAAACAACUAAGAACAACAAAUAAAAAUUACUUAGUCAUAAAGCAAACAAGCACACACGAGAAUAUUCACCCCAUGCUAUUCCUCCCCGGCAACGACGCUAGAAAAAGGUCUUGAUAACCCACAAGUAUAGGGGAUCACAACUAUUUUUGAUAAGUAAGAGUGUCGAACCCAACGAGGAGCUAAAGGCAGAACAAAUAUUCCCUCAAGUUCUAUCGACCACCGAUACAACUCUAUGCACGCUUGAUGUUCGCUUUACCUAGAACAAGUAUGAAACUAGAAGUACUAUGUAGGUGUUGUUGGAUAGGUUUAAAAGAUAAUAAAGAGCAAGUAAAUAAAAAGUAGGGGCUGUUUAGAUAAAGACACAACUAAGUUAGUUUUAGUAAAGAGCUUUUUGUUACGAGAAAGUUAUUUGUCCCUAGGCAAUCGAUAACUAGACCGGUAAUCAUUAUUGCAAUUUUAUAUGAGGGAGAGGCAUAACAUAACAUACUUUCUCUACCUGGAUCAUAUGCACUUAUGAUUGGAACUCUAGCAAGCAUCCUCAACUACUAAAGAUCAUUAAGGUAAAACCCAACCAUAGCAUUAAAGUAUCAAGUCCUCUUUAUCCCAUACGCAAACAACCUACUUACUCGGGUCUGUGCUUCUGUCACUCACACCACCCACCAUAAGCAAAUCAUGAACAUAUUGCAAACCCUACAGUGGGAAUCCCUCACGCUUGUGCGACACGGAGAGCACCAUAGGACAACACCAAUAAUAAAACAUGCAACUCAAACCAAUCACAAUCAUCAAUUAACCCAUAGGACAAAACGGAUCUACUCAAACAUCAUAGGAUAGCCAUACAUCAUUGGGAAAUAAUAUAUAGCGUUGAGCACCAUGUUUAAGUAGAUAUUAAAGUGGGUAAAAGAGAGGUUACACUGCUGCAUAGAGGGGGGAAGAGUUGGUGAUGACGGCGGUGAAGUUGUUGGUGAAGAUUGCGGUGAUGAUGAUGGCCCCCGGUGGCACUCCGGUGCCACUGGAAGCGAGGGGGAGAGAGCCCCCCUCCUUCUUCUUCUUCCUUGACCUCCUCCCUAGAUGGGAGAAGGGUUUCCCCUCUGGUCCUUGGUCUCCAUUACGUGGGAGGGGUGAGAGCCCCUCCGAGAUUGGAUCUGUCUCUCUGUCUCUCUCUGUUUCUGCGUUCCCAGAUUCUACCCUUUCACCGUUUCUUAUAUCCCCGGAGAUCCGUAACUCCGAUUGGGCUGAAAUUUUAAUACGAUCUCUAUCCGGAUAUUAGCUUUCUUGCGGUGAAAGAAGGGCAUCAACUGCCUUACGGGGUGGCCACGAGGGUCAGGGGCGCGCCCAGGGGGGUGGGGCGCGCCCCCCUGCCUCGUGCCUCCCCCGGGCACCGUCUCGCGUGGAUUUUUCUUCCCAAAAAUCAUAUAUAUAUAUAUAUAUUCCAAAAAAAUCUCCAUCAAUUUUUAUCCCGUUUGGACCCCGUUUGAUAUGAUAUUCUGCGAAACAAAAAACAUGCAACAAACAGGAACUGGCACUGGGCACUGGAUGAAUAUGUUAGUCCCAAAAAUAGUAUAAAAAGUUGCCAAAAGUAUAUGAAAGUUGUAGAAUAUUGGCAUGGAACAAUCAAAAAUUAUAGAUACGACAGAGACGUAUCACCAUCUCUAAAGCAUAACCCCAAAAUGAUAGCGGUAAAUCAGUAAGAGACAUCAUAGAUCACACCAUAUCUAAUAAAGUACGAUUACGACAUUCGGACACACCAUUACACUGUGGUGUUCCAGGCGGUGUGAGUUGUGAAACUAUUCCACAUUGUUUCAAAUGAAGACCAAACUCGUAACUCAAAUAUUCACCUCCACGAUCAGAUCGUAGAAACUUUAUUUUCUUGUUACGUUGAUUUUCCACUUCACUCUGAAAUUGUUUGAACUUUUCAAAUGUUUCAGACUUAUGUUCAUCAAGUAGAUAUACCCAUAUCUGAUCAAAUCAUCUGUGAAGGUUAGAAAAUAACAAUACCCGAUGCGAGCCUCAACACUCAUCGGACCGCAUACAUCAGUAUGUAUUAUUCCCAACAAGUCUGUUGCUCUUUCCAUUGUUCCGAAGAACGGAGUCUUAGUCAUCUUGCCCAUGAGGCAUGGUUCGCAAGCAUCAAGUGAUUCCAAAAGUCCAUCAACAUGGAAUUUCUUAAUGCGCUUUAAACCAAUAUGACCUAGACGACAGUGCCCCAAAUAAGUUGCUGUCGGUGUCAAAACCGGCGAAUCUCGGGUAGGGGGUCCCGAACUGUGCGUCAAGGCCGGAUGGUAACAGGAGACAAGGGACAAGAUGUUUUUUACCCAGGUUUGGGCCCUCUCGAUGGAGGUAAUACCCUAUUCCUGCUUGAUUAAUAUUGAUGAUAUGGGUAGUACAAGAGUAGAUCUACCACGAGAUCAAGGAGGCUAAACCCUAGAAGCUAGCCUAUGGUAUGAUUGUUGUGUAUGGAGUUGAUUGCCUACGGACUACAACCCUCCGGUUUAUAUAGACACCAGAUAGGGUUAGGGUUACAUAGAGUCGGUUACAAUGGUAGGAGAUCUUGAAUAUCCGCAUCGCCAAGCUUGCCUUCCACGCCAAGGAAAAUCCCAUCCGGACACGGGACGAAGUCUUCAAUCUUGUAUCUUCAUAGUCCAGGAGUCCAGCUGAAGGUAUAGUCCGGCUACCCGAACACCCCCUAAUCCAGGACUCCCUCAGUAGCCCCCGAACCAGGCUUCAAUGACGAUGAGUCCGGCGCGGAGAUUGUUCGGCAUUGCAAGGCGGGUUCCUCUCCAAAUCUUGUGUACCUGUAGGAAUAAUGUCCGAUUUUUGUAAUGUAGUGCUCCUCGGCUUCCACGCCCAAUAAUGGCCAUCUUCCACAUGUUCAAACGAAUGCGAAAAGCCGGGGUGUUUUUACAUCCACACCCCUAGCCGUAUAAACGAGCCGCCUAUUUAACGGGAUGGGGAUUUAGGUCCAAACCACAUCUUCUCCUUUCCGCGAGUUAUCAUCAGAGCGCUUCCAACAAAGGUCCAUUCCAACAUGACCAGCCGUCGCAGCUCCUCCCCUCGCCCUCCGGUCCCAAACCCGAGGACUGGGAGAGUUGUUCCAUCCCGCAUAGCGAGUUAGCGUCACUUCAGGCCAAGGGAUUUCUCCCUCAGGCAUACAUGGUCCCGGUCCGAGCCGGUCUCGCCACCUAUAAUGGCGGAAAACAAGCGGAGAGCACCCCCAAUCCUUCUAAAGGAGAGCGGGUGUGCCUCGUCCCCUAUCUAAUAAGGGGACUGGGAUUUCCAAUUCACCCAUUUCUCCGCGGGCUUCUGGAGUUCUACGGCCUCCAGCUGCACAACCUCACGCCCGCCUCCGUAUUGCAUAUUGCGGGUUUCGUCGCCCUUUGCGAGCUAUUUUUAGGCGUUGAGGAUCAUUUCGCGCUGUGGAAGAGGUUAUUCUGCCUGGUGCCCCGUUAUAAAGAGGGGUCUAUAUACCAAGUGGGCGGAGCCGAAGUAUGGCGCAUCGCCGGGACCGGAUACCUAUCCGGAACCCCAAAGAAGGCGUCCGAGGACUGGCCUUCGGAAUGGUUUUAUAUAGAUGACGUCCCGCUACCGGACCCUAUCCGGGUCGGUCUCCCUGAGUUCAACAGUGCUCCAUUGAAGAAACGCUUGAGCUGGCGUCCGCGGAGCUCUCAGAGAGAGAGCGACAGAGACGUCCUUUACCUGAUGGGCCGGAUAACACUGUUGGCUCAUUCCGGACUAACCAUGAUUGGAGUCAUGGCCGCAUGCAUUAUGCGGGGGGUGCAGCCACUUCAAUAUAGAGGCCACCCCAUGUGGGAUUUCAACGGGGAGGAUGACGCCACCCGUUACGGUCGUAAGGGGCCGGCUUUAGCUGCCGCCCUAGUAAAGAUCUUAUCCUCUUUGUACAAGGGAGAAAAGGAGGAAUUCCUCCGCGUCAACCCGCAGGCCGGAUUUACUAUGUACGUUCCUCCAAGUUGGGUAAGUGAACAACUGCGCUUGCCCGUUUGUUUUGUACUCCCACGGUUAGAUAUGUAGUCUAACGACUUCAAUGCAGGAACUGCGACAGGUGGUAAAGGAUAUAAACAAUCGCCCUCCACAACCCGAGGACCCAGAUCGGUCCCUCGAUCCGGACUCCGAAGAGGAUCCGGACAUAUCGGUGGAGCUUAUCGACGGGGUGUUCCAUCAGCUAAGCAAGGACAAUACCUUGGUAGCCAUCACGGCUGAUUACCCAGGGUUAAUCCCGGCCUCCCAGGUGACAGAAACCGGAGUCUCAUUCCCUUGAGGGAGAUUCCACUCUCACGUAUUCCAGUGUUUCUGACGACAACCAUGUUUUCCAGGGGAGAUUUCCGAGGCAGGAGGCCGAACCUGCGGCGGCUAGCCAACGAGGGGCCGCAGGGCCCCGUGGGGCAAAAAGGAAUGUAGUUCGAACUGAGAUGCCGGCGCAAAGGUAUAGCACACCCUCUGCUUCCCUGGUGUUAUUCUGUCCGGGCAUAUUAACGUUCGUGCUAUCUUCAGAACGAAGAGACCUCGCCGGACUAUAUCCGGAGAGGUUGCCAAUCGCGCCUCCACCAGCCAGGCUCCAACGUCUGGCCAGGAAGCGGAGGCGAGCACAAGGCGCGCACAGGACGCUCCUCCGACAGAGGAUGCGGAUAGUCUGUCUGCCACAAAUUCUGAAGUGGAGAGUGCCAUGAACCACAGGCGUUGCCGGACAGUUCUACGCGACGCUUGUUUCUCCCAAGAGGCUUUAGAUGCCUUUAAUUCGGGAGAUGCGUACCUCCGUGCCGCUCAAAAUGGUUUAGCCAGAGCCACGGAGCAGUAUGUAAAAGACAUACGGGUAAGAAAAUUUUGGUCAAAUAUAUAUUACCCGUAGCCCCCGAGACUUGAAACAGUUAGAGCAACUGAUUUAAGGAUCAUUUAAUAUUUAGGUUCUUACAGAGAAGAAUACUGUACUGUCCCAGGAGCUGGAAAAGUGCAAGGCCCAACUAGAGGCCGCACUAGCCGCAGUGGGGGAGUCCAAAGAGACCCCCUCAGGUAAGAUACACUUCGAAAGAUUAGUAUUGUGUGGUGUGGGUGCAAAUCUGACAAAUCAUGUUGCAGAUGGCGCCGGACUCGAUCCGGAAAAGCAACAACUCUUACGCCAGCUAAAGGCUGGUGAGAGUACGUUGACAAAGGUGAGGCGAGAGCAGAAUGAUCUUCAGGAUGCCAACACCAGGCUGGACGUCGAACUUAAAGAUGUUCGUGGCCAGCUGUCGGACUCCACGAAGGAGAAUCAGCGGCUUCGACGCGGCAUAUUUAGUAAGUGCUUGAACGAACUUUGAAAAAA
This 20504-nucleotide long non-coding RNA is filed under the name Triticum aestivum (bread wheat). RNAcentral describes it as "long non-coding RNA (TAES_LNC023945)". Lineage: Eukaryota; Viridiplantae; Streptophyta; Magnoliopsida; Poales; Poaceae. The record is from RNAcentral.